GGAACAAUACUUGCGGGUGCCUCCGUGGUGGAUUGCCAAUGAUUAUCCGUGCUGGGAAAUGAUAGUGGACCGGUGGUGCUCGCAAGAGUGGGUGGAGAUGCACGAGGCUGCCCGGCAGCGGCGUUUGCUGAUGCCAGGUGCAUCGCACCAUCAGUGCAACCGUAACCUCAAGGCGUACGCGGCUAGAUAUGUAUGUGAAUUAAUUUCUUUAUUCUAACGCUCAAUUCUGCAUAAUUUCUAAUCAUCUUCCUUUAUUCGCAGUCGGCGUCACAUGGUGGUGUGCCUUGCACCCAAGUCAAGGCAUACUGUUUGGCCCACAAAGGAAAGGGGACGUCCGAUGUCACCUUCAACCCGCAGGAUCCGCCCGAAGUGUACAGCAACGCAAGCGUCCACAGCCGCCUCAGUGGGUACACCUCGAUGGCACAAGAAGUUCAUGGGCCGGAGUUUGAUGCGAUCAAUGAGCCCAUUGAUGGAGAAGUCGUCAUGAGGGCGGGAGGAGGCAAGAAGCAUGGACGGUACUGGUUUGGCGACAGCUUAGUCGACACGGCGACUACUCCCACUCUCUCGCAGAUUUGAGCCAGGAGUACCAGCUCAAGCCCUGCCAUACGCCCACGGCCAGACACUACACAGACUCAGAUUGAGGCUGUCAAGGCCCAGAUGGAAGCAGCCUUCCAAGCACGGCAGGAGGCGGCAGAGGAGAGGUGGAGGGCCGAGCGGGACGACAUCCAGCAAAAAUUGGAUCAAGCUCUAACAUUUAUGCAAAGCCUAGGCUCGGCGAUGGGUGUUUCGCCUCCACAAUUCCCUCCGGCCCCACUU
Long non-coding RNA from Panicum virgatum (switchgrass), 816 nucleotides. RefSeq lists it as uncharacterized. NCBI's taxonomy places the organism in Eukaryota, Viridiplantae, Streptophyta, Magnoliopsida, Poales, Poaceae. The transcript is spliced from 3 exons. The record is from RefSeq and is a predicted model, not a curated record.